Molecule: long non-coding RNA, 987 nt
Organism: Silurus meridionalis
Lineage: Eukaryota; Metazoa; Chordata; Actinopteri; Siluriformes; Siluridae
Exons: 3
Source: RefSeq, a predicted model, not a curated record
CCGUCCCUGAUAGUAGGAGAGUGAAAAGUGUGUGUGACGGGUGUGUGUGGUUGUCCACAAUGCUGUUUGCUUUGCAGAUGCAGCGGGUGGUGUAAAUGUCCAUGAUAGAGGGAAGAGAGACUCUGAUGAUCUUCUAAGUGGUCCUCACUAUCCUCAGUAGGGUCUUGCGCUCCGAGACUGUGCAGUUCCCAAACCAGGCAGUGAUGCAGCUGCUCGGGAUGCUCUCAAUGGUCCCUCUGUAGAACGUGGUCAGGAUGGGGGAGAAGCUUUCCUCAGCCUUCUCAGGAAGUAGAGAUGCUGCUGGGCUUUUUUGGUGAUGGGGCUGGAGGAGCCUUUCCUGUUUGCACAUACUUGGGUAUACACCAUGAAGUUAAAAAUCCUGAAUCGCAUUGACCUGGAUGCUUCAGCAAUAAUGUAAUACAUUCUCAAUAACUGAUAUGUUUAGGUUUUUUUGCUGUUUUUUUUUUUUGUUACUUAAACAGCAAAUACACAAUGUUGUGAUUGCAGCUUGAGAAACUCCAUGCCAUUGGAUACAAGGCUGUUCUGCUUCUUUGCAAGGAGACAAAAAGAAUGAAGUCAAGUGUGAAAUAUUAACCCCUCUGUGCACACUCUCCACCUAUGCCCAGGACUACCUUUAGAAGAUGGGUUCACUUUAUGAAUACCUUUGUGAAGUCCCCAAAAGAGAGCAAGCUUUUGGGAAUGUUGGGAAGAGCACAACACAUGCAUGUCAAGUCCCAGCUCACCACAUUUGCAAUUUGGCAUCCAGGAACCCACAGAAUUUGACUAGGAUGGAAACAGGAUUCCAGUGGCAAUGAUGACCAGCUGAUGACGCUGCGUCUCACACCCUGUGAUCCAUUGGAGAACACAAGCAACCCAGAGUAGGUGAGGACCACACAGGUGGAAGAGACAAGAACAUGCUGGUGGAGCCCAUGAGUAAUACAGAAGGGCAGGUGGAGGGGAUGAGCACUACAGAGGAGCAGGUGGAGC